GGGGUCCCGUACCUUUGAAAUGGUGGUUCUUUCGUUAAAACUGGAAUGCCAAGGAGCAGCAGUGGCGUAGCGGUUAAGAGCAGACUACGAUGCAAUCUCAGAGGAGGAGGAAUCACUUUUCAUGAUUAACGUCUCCAAUAUAGACAUUUUUUUCUUCAUGUGUGGUAUUGUAACACCUCACUUGGUGAUUGUAUUUGUGGAUAUGACUCUUGGGGGAAGAAAGUCUACUUGUCCGUUGGCUGCAGGCUCCUCAGCCACGCAACUCCCUGGGUGGUCACAGCAAGCCAUCGCUCAAGUUGAGUCCGCCCCAGAGUGUUGAUAAAAUGAGAUGAUAUGGCAACCUGUAGAAUCGGGACAGGAAAAGACGUACAAAUAAACGAAUUCAAUAAACAAACAC
Molecule: long non-coding RNA, 397 nt
Organism: Sphaerodactylus townsendi
Lineage: Eukaryota; Metazoa; Chordata; Lepidosauria; Squamata; Sphaerodactylidae
Exons: 3
Source: RefSeq, a predicted model, not a curated record